UAGGGAAUUUUCGUCAAUGGGGGCAACCCUGAACGAGCAAUGCCGCGUGAGCGAAGAAGGUCUUCGGAUUGUAAAGCUCUGUUGCCAGGGAAAAAGGAAGGAAAGAGGAAAUGCUUUUCUUUGGAUGGUACCCGGCCAGAAAGUCACGGCUAACUACGUGCC
Molecule: ribosomal RNA, 162 nt
Filed under: uncultured bacterium
Lineage: Bacteria
Description: partial 16S ribosomal RNA
Rfam family: Bacterial small subunit ribosomal RNA
Source: RNAcentral